CAAGUCGAACGGUAACAGGUCUUCGGACGCUGACGAGUGGCGAACGGGUGAGUAAUACAUCGGAACGUGCCCAGUCGUGGGGGAUAACUACUCGAAAGAGUAGCUAAUACCGCAUACGAUCUGAGGAUGAAAGCGGGGGACCUUCGGGCCUCGCGCGAUUGGAGCGGCCGAUGGCAGAUUAGGUAGUUGGUGGGAUAAAAGCUUACCAAGCCGACGAUCUGUAGCUGGUCUGAGAGGGCGACCAGCCACACUGGGACUGAGACACGGCCCAGACUCCUACGGGAGGCAGCAGUGGGGAAUUUUGGACAAUGGGCGAAAGCCUGAUCCAGCAAUGCCGCGUGCAGGAUGAAGGCCCUCGGGUUGUAAACUGCUUUUGUACGGAACGAAAAGCCUGGGGCUAAUAUCCCCGGGUCAUGACGGUACCGUAAGAAUAAGCACCGGCUAACUACGUGCCAGCAGCCGCGGUAAUACGUAGGGUGCAAGCGUUAAUCGGAAUUACUGGGCGUAAAGCGUGCGCAGGCGGUUUUGUAAGACAGUGGUGAAAUCCCCGGGCUCAACCUGAGAACUGCCAUUGUGACUGCAAGGCUAGAGUGCGGCAGAGGGGGAUGGAAUUCCGCGUGUAGCAGUGAAAUGCGUAGAUAUGCGGAGGAACACCGAUGGCGAGGCAAUCCCUGGCCUGCACUGACGCUCAUGCACGAAAGCGAGGGGAGCACACAGGAUAGAUACCCUGAUAGUCCACGCCCUACACGAUGUCACUGGUUGUUGGGUCUUAACUGACUC
This 780-nucleotide ribosomal RNA is filed under the name uncultured bacterium. Its description in RNAcentral is "bacterial SSU rRNA". It matches the Rfam family "Bacterial small subunit ribosomal RNA", at positions 58 to 841 of the family's 1533-position model. The record is from RNAcentral.